GAAAUGCGAUAAGUAAUGUGAAUUGCAGAAUUCAGUGAAUCAUCGAAUCUUUGAACGCACAUUGCGCCCGAUAGUUAUUCUGGCGGGCAUGCCUGUCCGAGCGUCAUUUCAACCAUCAAGCCCUCGGGUUUGGUGUUGGGGAUCGGCGAGCCUUUCUGGCAGGCCGGCACCGAAAUCUAGUGGCGGUCUCGCUGCAGCCUCCAUUGCGUAGUAGUAAACCCCUCGCAACUGGAACGCGGCGCGGCCAAGCCGUUAAACCCCCAACUUCUGAAUGUUGACCUCGGAUCAGGUAGGAAUACCCGCUGAACUUAA
Molecule: unclassified non-coding RNA, 312 nt
Filed under: uncultured Fusarium
Lineage: Eukaryota; Fungi; Ascomycota; Sordariomycetes; Hypocreales; Nectriaceae
Description: sequence contains ITS1
Rfam family: 5.8S ribosomal RNA (bases 1-106)
Source: RNAcentral